Sander lucioperca (pikeperch) is the source of this 78-nucleotide long non-coding RNA. RefSeq lists it as uncharacterized. NCBI's taxonomy places the organism in Eukaryota, Metazoa, Chordata, Actinopteri, Perciformes, Percidae. The transcript has 3 exons. The record is from RefSeq and is a predicted model, not a curated record.
AGAAUGCCCUCAGGGUCAACGGUGUGCUGCAACGAGAGACGUUGAAUACGAAGGUAUUUCAAAAGGAUUAAAAUAAAC